Small nucleolar RNA from Spea bombifrons (plains spadefoot toad), 130 nucleotides. NCBI's taxonomy places the organism in Eukaryota, Metazoa, Chordata, Amphibia, Anura, Pelobatidae. The record is from RefSeq and is a predicted model, not a curated record.
UUGCUCUGACAAGUAUCCCCUGUUUCUAUUCCGUGGUUAAGGGUUCGCUUAACGGUGCUAGAUCAAAUCCGUUCUUGGAGAAAGGCCAGGCUUUCUUGUAACCGGCCCCUGCUGAUAGUUGGGUACAAAA